RNAcentral lists this ribosomal RNA (301 nucleotides) under uncultured bacterium. Its description in RNAcentral is "partial 16S ribosomal RNA". It matches the Rfam family "Bacterial small subunit ribosomal RNA", at positions 509 to 807 of the family's 1533-position model. The record is from RNAcentral.
CAGCCGCCGCGGUAAUACGGAGGGUGCAAGCGUUAUCCGGAUUUAUUGGGUUUAAAGGGUCCGUAGGCGGAUCUGUAAGUCAGUGGUGAAAUCUCACAGCUUAACUGUGAAACUGCCAUUGAUACUGCAGGUCUUGAGUAAAUUUGAAGUGGCUGGAAUAAGUAGUGUAGCGGUGAAAUGCAUAGAUAUUACUUAGAACACCAAUUGCGAAGGCAGGUCACUAAGAUUUAACUGACGCUGAUGGACGAAAGCGUGGGGAGCGAACAGGAUUAGAGACCCCAGUAGUCCCUGUCUCUUAUAC